Non-coding RNA from Cinara cedri, 971 nucleotides. The record is from the annotation of a GenBank genome assembly. NCBI's taxonomy places the organism in Eukaryota, Metazoa, Arthropoda, Insecta, Hemiptera, Aphididae.
GAAUGACAAUAAAUUAUUAUGUUUGUAUUUUUUUUUUUUUUUAAUUUGUUUUAGAUUUAUUUUCACACAAAAAAAAAACAAUAGAUAUGUAUACACACGUACGGAAUUCUCAUUAAUUUGAUCUUACAAACUUAUGCAGUGCUAAAAGUUUUAUAGAGGGAAAUCGUGGCGGACCGAAUCAAGUCUUCUGUGACUAAAAAAAAAAAAAUUGUUCGUCGUAUAGUGAGGUUUUCUUUAUACAUAACUUAUUAUAUUUUAUUUUAUUUUAUUGUAUCUCAGUGUUAAAUUAUAUUUUAUAUUUUUUUUAUAAUAAUUGAAAAAAGAAACAUCCCAAUCCACGUUGUAUUUUUAGGUUUCCGAACCUCGUAUGCAUCAGAGACGAUAAUAUAUAUAUAUAUAUAAAGAACCAUAAUACAAUGAUGUUAUAUUGGUAUUUUUAUAGAGUCUACGUUCAAUAUAGAUUUUCAGCAAAAGAAUAAAAAGUAAAACGGUGAAUAUUUUUGGACCACCGAGAGUUUAUAGAAUCUCAUGAUAUGUUGUGUUAUACUGCGAGGAGUCGAAAACCUCGAAGUACCAUGCACAAUAACUAUUUGCGCAAAUAUAAACCGAAGUAUAAAUAGCUGAGUUUAUUUGAUGUUGCGUACAGGUCUCAUUGAACAAGUGAUAUACUCAUACGUUUAUUUAUUAAUUAAAUUUUAAAAUUAAAAAAUUACUUUGUAAAAAAGACAAAAAAAAAAAGUAAAAUAAAAUGUAUACUAUUUGUAUUUGUCCAUUUUUUUCUUUUAUAUCAAUAAUUUAAAAUUUCACAGCGAUCAGCGAGGAGAAAAUAUAUACAUAUCUAUGUGUUGUAUUCCCGAGGGUCGAGAAAAGCUUGAUGCCACAAGUCUUGUUUUUAUAUGUAUAAAUUAUAUAUAUAUUUAUGUAUGUAAAUUGAUGCAAUUACGACCGCUUCCCCGUGGUUCAUAUAAUGU